Molecule: ribosomal RNA, 462 nt
Filed under: Hynobius kimurae (Hida salamander)
Lineage: Eukaryota; Metazoa; Chordata; Amphibia; Caudata; Hynobiidae
Description: partial large subunit ribosomal RNA
Rfam family: Bacterial large subunit ribosomal RNA
Source: RNAcentral
AGACCAGUAUGAAUGGCAAGACGAAAGUUCAACUGUCUCCCUAAGUUAAUCAAUGAAAUUGAUUUUUCCGUGCAGAAGCGGAAAUAUAAUUAUAAGACGAGAAGACCCUAUGGAGCUUUAAACAUAUGAUCAAUUGCGUAACAUAAAAUCCAAAAGAUAAAAUAUUUAAUAAAACAAUAUGAUCAAAAUUUUAGGUUGGGGCGACCACGGAGAAAAACAAAACCUCCGAGAUGAAGAGAAUAUCUUAAUUCAAGAACUACAAUUCUAAAAAAUAAAAUAUUUAACAUAAUUGAUCCAAUACUUUGAUCAACGAACCAAGUUACCCUAGGGAUAACAGCGCAAUCCUCUCCAAGAGUCCCUAUCGACGAGCGGGUUUACGACCUCGAUGUUGGAUCAGGACACCCCAAUGGUGCAGCCGCUAUUAAAGGUUCGUUUGUUCAACGAUUAAAGUCCUACGUGAUC